Molecule: long non-coding RNA, 2524 nt
Organism: Oreochromis niloticus (Nile tilapia)
Lineage: Eukaryota; Metazoa; Chordata; Actinopteri; Cichliformes; Cichlidae
Exons: 4
Source: RefSeq, a predicted model, not a curated record
CACGAGACCAAAUACUGUCAGUCACGUGCAUCUGAGGCUAGGGGGCCAAGAGGCCCACAUUUCUGGAAUUUAUGAGUCUAACAUGACGCAAGUGGUCAACAAAUACUAAAAGUCAAAUGUUUCAAGGUUUAGUUUCAAGUGAAAGUAGAACAAUUUCCGUAAAGCUGCCAGUGCAGACACGAAAAUACCGAAUUUUGCGCAUGUUAGCUUAGGACUUAUGAGUUAUCAAAACCACGUUCCGUAAAAUGCCCAGCGGUUUUCACACAGAAGUCGGAUAUUAUUUCCAGAGCUGGUUGAGCAGAGGACACGUGAUUUAAGACACCUUGACAUCAUGCUGCUGUACCUGCGUUCAUGGCUGUCUGGGGCAUCCUGGAGCAUCGGCUGCAUCUCCUCCUGGGGUGAGGGGGUGAGAGUGGCUGUGGACUGGUGACUGUAAGACACGGCAGCAGGGGAAGAAGCUGCCCCACGGAUGGGAGGAGUGGGCCCCCUCUCCAUCUCUUCUUCCUCCUCCAGCUCAUCAGGCUGCAGCUUUAAUUCAAAUUCGAAUCAAGAUGGCUCAUUUAACAGGAUUCUACUGUACGACUGGACCUUAAGCCAACACUGCUGACACCUUCUCCACCUCUCUGAUAUGCCACUGAAAGAGAGAAAAUGAGUUUCUGUCAUGAUUCCACCGUCGUUAUGAUUGUCGUGAUGUCCUUAUUUUCACCACAGUCAUGUAAGUUCAACAUAAAAUUAUUUGAGUUAACUUAUUCAAUAAGAAAAUAAGUAUUUAUUUUGAAUUGCCAAUUUUGUGAAAGAUGAUUGGGAGACUUCCUUUUAAGCUAGUGCUGUGUUUUUGUUUUUGUAUCAGUGCAAGUGAGUGUGUGAUUGAAUGCGUGUGGCAUCAUUUCAGCUGAGUCAUAGACACACAUGCACACACGAAGCAACAGGAGGAUGUGUAAGAGGCUUAUGAAGAACAAAGAUGCAGAGCUCUUUGGUUGUCUGGCUCGGGUUCAGCGUGUUUGAAGCUCUGUGUGCUGCAAGUUGGACUCUUUCAAGGAGCUCUAAGCUGCCGGUGUGUGUGAAGGAGAGAUAAACUUCCAACUUUAAUUACAAUCUCUUCCCUGAGAGCAGAGAAGGUGGAAGAGGGGUAGGUUGGGCCUUAGCUGUGUUGAUUCCUUGUCUCUCUUUCAAAACAGGAAGUGUGUGGUGUGGUCUCUGCAUGUAGCCAGAGGAGAUCUUAUGCAAACUAAUUUAUCACACAGUCUGGUUAAAGAUGAAAAUCAGUAUAAUGCUCAGCAAAGUCCUGGUUUCACACAGAGUACCAGGGCAGGGAUUUUCUCUCUAAAGAGUCGAACCUAAAUGCGCAAGCAAGGACUAUGUUUCAGCUGAAAGACUUCCAUGAAACAAGCCUGCCACUGCAAAAUUAUUCUACCUGAUUGCAAGACUCAAGGCAGACAGAAAGCGCACUGCUACCGUGUGGAUACAAUCCCUGCACAGACAGGAUCAACCAGUAGAACAACAAACACAGACUGCACGGGAUUUGUCUCCUUCACUGUUACUUCCUCUUAUCUAUUCACACUGUUUCACAUUUGCCAUUUCGCUAAACACCGCCAACACCCUUUUACACACCUCAAGGGAACAAGGAAUUUCCGAGGGAUGAAAGUCCACGAGUGAAAGAAGAAGGUGGAGAGAACUGUAAAGACAGACUUGCAGGGACAGAAAGAUACAGAUAUACAAGGAGCUUUUCUUUUAUCUGUUUUAUGCUGUGUCACUUCAGCUCACAGAUAACCUCCUUAGCUCUGCUGCCACUUGCCUGUUUAAUUGGUGUGUUGGAGACUCUGGUGGUGUGUCAUUCUCCUAAAUCCCCUCUGAGGUUGCCAGCAGCCCUUUGAUCAAGUUACCACUACUAUAAAACAGAUUCUUGGUAGUGUGGCCUCUUCUUUUUUGAGCUUUAUGUUCUGAAACAGCUCAAAUAUUUGCUGGAACAUUUAUGUUGAGGUAGACCUUUAAACUGUGCCAAUUAAUGGGGCCUUUUCUUGUUUUUAUCAAGUCUUCCUCACCAACUUCUCUACAGCUGGUAAUUUCUCUAAUGAUUCUGUUAGGACUUUAAUGUUAAAGCCAUUAAAGGACGCUUUUCCCAACGGCAGUGAAAAUGUUCAUGUUGUUAUAAGAUAUUCUGGUUUGGUUUGUAUUUAAAAGGAAACAAAGAGGACACAACCUUCCCACUGAAAGAAUAACAUAUAUUGAAGGACAAACAAGGGAUCUUUGAAUAGGUUUAGGAAUCUUUUUUGGAUUUUUAUGGGGGAUGUGUAUCUGUCAUUGUCAGAUUCUGAUUGUUUUCUUGUGUUGUUUUGUUUGUCUUCCUUUUUUCCUGAAUUGGCCUUUUUUCUAUUGGGAAACUGGACUGAGAUGUGCUUAAUGUGUUGAGCACACUGUUUGGUAUUUUUAUGUUCCAAGAAGUUUGUGAAAAUGGGAAAAGGCCUGUGCUGUAGUACAUUGAGUUUAUAAAACCAUAGAUACUGUAUGUACUGCAGGAGAAGGU